RNAcentral lists this microRNA precursor (59 nucleotides) under Heliconius melpomene (postman butterfly). Its description in RNAcentral is "Hme-Mir-281_pre stem-loop". It matches the Rfam family "mir-46/mir-47/mir-281 microRNA precursor family", at positions 15 to 72 of the family's 85-position model. From Rfam's summary of the family: The hairpin precursors (represented here) are predicted based on base pairing and cross-species conservation -- their extents are not known. In this case the mature sequences are expressed from the 3' arms of the hairpin precursors. The record is from RNAcentral. Lineage: Eukaryota; Metazoa; Arthropoda; Insecta; Lepidoptera; Nymphalidae.
AAGAGAGCUAUCCGUCGACAGUAUUGACACUAAACACUGUCAUGGAGUUGCUCUCUUUA